AAAUAAGUAAGCUAACAUUCAAGCUUUUAGGCUCAUACCCUAACUAUAGAAACUUUCUCUUAUUUA
Molecule: transfer RNA, 66 nt
Filed under: Pheidole flavigaster
Lineage: Eukaryota; Metazoa; Arthropoda; Insecta; Hymenoptera; Formicidae
Description: tRNA-Met
Source: RNAcentral